UUGAACGCUGGCGGCAUGCCUUACCCCUGCAAGUCGAACGGUAACAGGUCUUCGGAUGCUGACGAGUGGCGACCGGGUGAGUAAUACAUCGGAACGUGCCCGAUCGUGGGGGAUAACGGAGCGAAAGCUUUGCUAAUACCGCAUACGAUCUACGGAUGAAAGCAGGGGACCGCAAGGCCUUGCGCGGACGGAGCGGCCGAUGGCAGAUUAGGUAGUUGGUGGGAUAAAAGCUUACCAAGCCGACGAUCUGUAGCUGGUCUGAGAGGACGACCAGCCACACUGGGACUGAGACACGGCCCAGACUCCUACGGGAGGCAGCAGUGGGGAAUUUUGGACAAUGGGCGAAAGCCUGAUCCAGCCAUGCCGCGUGCAGGAUGAAGGCCUUCGGGUUGUAAACUGCUUUUGUACGGAACGAAAAGACUCUUUCUAAUAAAGAGGGUCCAUGACGGUACCGUAAGAAUAAGCACCGGCUAACUACGUG
Molecule: ribosomal RNA, 481 nt
Filed under: uncultured bacterium
Lineage: Bacteria
Description: partial 16S ribosomal RNA
Rfam family: Bacterial small subunit ribosomal RNA
Source: RNAcentral